Molecule: long non-coding RNA, 131 nt
Organism: Epinephelus fuscoguttatus (brown-marbled grouper)
Lineage: Eukaryota; Metazoa; Chordata; Actinopteri; Perciformes; Serranidae
Exons: 3
Source: RefSeq, a predicted model, not a curated record
GUUCCUACUUGUGGAUUGGUGAAUAGUGUUGAGAGAGAGGGGGUCAGACAUCAGCUGCCACCAUGAGUACGGACGCAGAGAUGGCCAUCUAUGGCAAGGCUGCCAUUUACCUCCGGAAGCCAGAAAGGAGA